CCGGUGGGGACGGGGAGGAGUCGCGGGGUUCUGAGCCCUAGAACUGGGGUGCAGGAAGAGCUGUGCACGGGACCGUGGCUAACCAUGCGCGCUGCUUCCACCGCCGGACCCUGGUCCGUAAGACUAAGAAAAACCACAGGAAGUGUCCACACAGGUUGAUGCUGAGCAAGGGCAGAAGAGGAUCUUGGGGCUUUACUCGUGAGGUGGAUUAUGUUAUCUUCAUUUUCAAAAACAAGAGAAUGAAGAAAGAAAAGAGGAAUGCAACCAAGAAAAAAAAGAAGGCAAAGAAAAAAAAGAAAAGACUGAAGCCUGUAACCUUUUAUUAGCCUGUAUUUUGAGACCGUUGUCAGGCAUAAGGUAGUCCCUCCUAAAAGGAUGCAGCUUGAGACCUUGUCCCGGUACCAAGAUUAUGUUUAAGGAAAGGCCUUUGGACAGUGAGGAGAGAGAGAAAAGAAGAUAUCACCUGCUCCCAGCACUCCAAGAGAGCCCAACUGCCACUCCCAGAGACUAACUGCCACCUCCUUCAGAGCAACAGCCACACCCAGAGAGUAACUGACACAGAAAAACCAUUACACUGUCUCAGAUCUGUUUCAAACCAGCUUCUCUCCUUCUUGUCUCUAAACUAAUAUGACAAGACUUAAUUUCUAAUGUCAUCCUUAUACUCCAAGUUAAAUUCUGAAAUAAAUGAGUCCAGAAGUUCA
Long non-coding RNA from Monodelphis domestica (gray short-tailed opossum), 701 nucleotides. RefSeq lists it as uncharacterized. The record is from RefSeq and is a predicted model, not a curated record. Lineage: Eukaryota; Metazoa; Chordata; Mammalia; Didelphimorphia; Didelphidae.